AGCUCAGUGGUAGAGCACGUGCUUGGCAUGCACAAGGUCCUGGAUUCAAUCCCCAG
RNAcentral lists this transfer RNA (56 nucleotides) under Camelus dromedarius (Arabian camel). It matches the Rfam family "tRNA", at positions 9 to 63 of the family's 71-position model. Rfam says of the family: Transfer RNA (tRNA) molecules are approximately 80 nucleotides in length. Their secondary structure includes four short double-helical elements and three loops (D, anti-codon, and T loops). Further hydrogen bonds mediate the characteristic L-shaped molecular structure. tRNAs have two regions of fundamental functional importance: the anti-codon, which is responsible for specific mRNA codon recognition, and the 3' end, to which the tRNAs corresponding amino acid is attached (by aminoacyl-tRNA synthetases). tRNAs cope with the degeneracy of the genetic code in two manners: having more than one tRNA (with a specific anti-codon) for a particular amino acid; and 'wobble' base-pairing, i.e. permitting non-standard base-pairing at the 3rd anti-codon position. Lineage: Eukaryota; Metazoa; Chordata; Mammalia; Artiodactyla; Camelidae. RNAcentral also lists the same sequence under 1 other name. The record is from Rfam by way of RNAcentral.